GGGGUCGACUGGUUUUGACAGCACAAGACGGGGAAAGCGUAAGCAUGUCGUGCGUUGUAUUAUUAGCACGUUAAUCUGAAGAUUCAACAUUUUAUUUGGCAAUACUCAGUAUGCCAUGGCUGCCUAAUCAGUGAUUAGUUAGUCAUUAGGGCCGCUUGAGCAGGUGAUUUCGCUACCAAGCUCCGCCGCCGACUCAACAAAAAAUGCGAAAUGCUGUAGUGCCAGGCUGUGCACACUGCAAAAGACUAUCCAGCUAAGCUUAUAAUCGGUUUGUUCAUUUCCUGUUAUUUGCCGACAAUUAAAACUGAACUAAACAUGUAGAAAACUUUUUCAAUCGGUGUUUGGACGCGGGUUCGAAUCCCGCCGAUUCCACAA
This 375-nucleotide transfer-messenger RNA is filed under the name Chitinophagaceae. Its description in RNAcentral is "Edaphocola sp003852495 Standard tmRNA". It matches the Rfam family "transfer-messenger RNA". From Rfam's summary of the family: Bacterial tmRNA, also known as 10Sa RNA or SsrA, is named for its dual tRNA and mRNA-like properties. Lineage: Bacteria; Pseudomonadati; Bacteroidota; Chitinophagia; Chitinophagales. The record is from RNAcentral. RNAcentral also lists the same sequence under 1 other name.